This 404-nucleotide unclassified non-coding RNA is filed under the name soil metagenome. RNAcentral describes it as "partial contains 5.8S ribosomal RNA, internal transcribed spacer 2, and large subunit ribosomal RNA". The stretch from base 1 to 121 matches the Rfam family "5.8S ribosomal RNA", at positions 35 to 154 of the family's 154-position model. The record is from RNAcentral.
GAUGAAGAACGCAGCGAAAUGCGAUAAGUAAUGUGAAUUGCAGAAUUCAGUGAAUCAUCGAAUCUUUGAACGCACCUUGCGCCCUUUGGCUAUUCCGAAGGGCAUGCCUGUUUGAGUAUCAUGAACACCUCAACUCUCAUGGUUUGCCAUGAUGAGCUUGGACUUUGGGGGUCUUGCCUGCCUAUGGGUCGGCUCCUCUCAAAUUAAUCAGCUUGCCAGUGUUUGGUGGCAUCACAGGUGUGAUAACUAUCUACGCUUGUGGUUUUCCAUCAGGUAACCUUCAGUGAUGGAGGUUCGCUGGGGCUCAUAAAUGUCUCUCCUCAGUGAGGACAGCUUUUUUGAACGUUUGAUCUCAAAUCAGGUAGGACUACCCGCUGAACUUAAGCAUAUCAAUAAGCGGAGGA